GACGAACGCUGGCGGCGUGCUUAACACAUGCAAGUCGAACGGAAAGGCCCUGCUUUUGUGGGGUGCUCGAGUGGCGAACGGGUGAGUAACACGUUAGUAACCUGCCCUUGACUUUGGUAUAACUUCAGGAAACUGGGGCUAAUACCGGAUAGGAGCUCCUGCUGCAUGGUGUGGGUUGGAAAGUUUCGGCGGUUGGGGAUGGACUCGCGGCUUAUCAGCUUGUUGGUGGGGUAGUGGCUUACCAAGGCUUUGACGGGUAGCCGGCCUGAGAGGGUGACCGGACAAAUUGGGACUGAGAUACGGACCAGAAUGCUACGGGAGGCAGCAGUGGGGAAUAGUGCACAAUGGGCGGAAGCGUGAUGAAGCAACGCCGGGUGCGGGAUGACGGCCUUCGGGUUGUAAACCGAUUUCGCCUGUGACGAAGAGUGAGUGACGGUAAUGGGUAAAGAAGCACCGGCUAACUACGUG
Molecule: ribosomal RNA, 468 nt
Filed under: uncultured bacterium
Lineage: Bacteria
Description: partial 16S ribosomal RNA
Rfam family: Bacterial small subunit ribosomal RNA
Source: RNAcentral